This 863-nucleotide ribosomal RNA is filed under the name uncultured bacterium. RNAcentral's name for it is "bacterial SSU rRNA". It matches the Rfam family "Bacterial small subunit ribosomal RNA", at positions 56 to 917 of the family's 1533-position model. The record is from RNAcentral.
UGCAAGUCGAGGGGUAACAUAGAGUGCUUGCACUUUGAUGACGACCGGCGCACGGGUGAGUAACGCGUAUACAAUCUGCCUCAUACUAGGGGAUAGCCCAGAGAAAUUUGGAUUAAUACCCUAUAGUAUCAUUUAGAGUCAUCUCUUUAUGAUUAAAGGUUACGGUAUGAGAUGAGUAUGCGUUCUAUUAGUUAGUAGGUGAGGUAACGGCUCACCUAGACCACGAUAGAUAGGGGCCCUGAGAGGGGGAUCCCCCACACUGGUACUGAGACACGGACCAGACUCCUACGGGAGGCAGCAGUGAGGAAUAUUAGACAAUGGGCGAAAGCCUGAUCUAGCCAUGCCGCGUGCAGGAUGACGGCCCUAUGGGUUGUAAACUGCUUUUAUACAGGAAGAAAAAACUCUACGUGUAGAGUCUUGACGGUACUGUAAGAAUAAGGAUCGGCUAACUCCGUGCCAGCAGCCGCGGUAAUACGGAGGAUCCAAGCGUUAUCCGGAAUUAUUGGGUUUAAAGGGUCCGUAGGUGGACAAUUAAGUCAGAGGUGAAAUCCUGCAGCUCAACUGUAGAAUUGCCUUUGAAACUGGUUGUCUUGAGUCAUUAUGAAGUGGUUAGAAUGUGUAGUGUAGCGGUGAAAUGCAUAGAUAUUACACAGAAUACCAAUUGCGAAGGCAGAUCACUAAUAAUGUACUGACACUGAUGGACGAAAGCGUGGGUAGCGAACAGGAUUAGAUACCCUGGUAGUCCACGCCGUAAACGAUGGUCACUAGCUGUUCGGACUUCGGUCUGAGUGGCUAAGCGAAAGUGAUAAGUGACCCACCUGGGGAGUACGUUCGCAAGAAUGAAACUCAAAGGAAUUGACGGG